GGGGAUUUGGCUCAGUGGUAGAGCGCUUGCCUAGGAAGCGCAAGGUCCUGGGUUCGGUCCCAGCCCCG
Molecule: transfer RNA, 68 nt
Filed under: Rattus norvegicus (Norway rat)
Lineage: Eukaryota; Metazoa; Chordata; Mammalia; Rodentia; Muridae
Rfam family: tRNA
About the family: Transfer RNA (tRNA) molecules are approximately 80 nucleotides in length. Their secondary structure includes four short double-helical elements and three loops (D, anti-codon, and T loops).
Source: Rfam by way of RNAcentral